This 88-nucleotide ribosomal RNA is filed under the name Clostridium tetani E88. The record is from RNAcentral. Lineage: Bacteria; Bacillati; Bacillota; Clostridia; Eubacteriales; Clostridiaceae.
GGUAACACCCGUUCCCAUGCCGAACACGAUGGUUAAGCUUCUAAGCGCCGAUGGUACUGCAAGGGCGACCUUGUGGGAGAGUAGGACG